UACAGAGACUGCAAGCGUUAUUCGGAUUCACUGGGCGUAAAGGGUGCGCAGGCGGCCGUGUGUGUCAGGUGUGAAAGCCCGGAGCUUAACUCCGGAAUUGCGCCUGAAACUACAUGGCUAGAGCAUUGGAGAGGGUAGCGGAAUUCACGGUGUAGCAGUGAAAUGCGUAGAUAUCUGGAGGGACACCGGUGGCGAAGGCGGCAUCCUGGAGCGGUAAUGACGCUGAGGCGCGAAAGCUAGGGGAGCAAACGGG
Molecule: ribosomal RNA, 253 nt
Filed under: uncultured bacterium
Lineage: Bacteria
Description: partial 16S ribosomal RNA
Rfam family: Bacterial small subunit ribosomal RNA
Source: RNAcentral